Molecule: long non-coding RNA, 1474 nt
Organism: Papaver somniferum (opium poppy)
Lineage: Eukaryota; Viridiplantae; Streptophyta; Magnoliopsida; Ranunculales; Papaveraceae
Exons: 3
Source: RefSeq, a predicted model, not a curated record
AUUUUUUUUCUUUACACACGGUUAGGGUUUAUUGUUUUUGAAUAUUAGGGUUUAUCAUUUUUGCUGAAAAAAAUGAUGGUGGUUAUUUUGGUUUGCAGGUACUGGACACCUAAAAAAAUCAGGCUUUUUGGCUUUGCUGCAAACUAACACUUGGAAAAAUCAGAAAUAUUUUCAAGGUAUCCUCAGAUCAUGCAUAUCAUGCGUCUGUUGUGGCUGUUGUACCCGCGCAUACAUGAUACUUCAAACAAUAUCAAGGUACAAACUCAUUCUUGCAAUUUUUCAUAUCAAAAAAAAAAAAAAGAAAAAGAAAACUCAUUCUUGCAAAUAUUGUUGCAAUAUAAAUCAAACACCAUAAUCGUUUUUUUGUUUCCCAGUCCCAGGUCCAAAUGAUGCUUUUUUGCAUUAUUAUUGCCUCAGCUGUUGCUAAAUCAGUAAAUAGUGGUUUGCUCAAUUUCUCAUUAUUGAACAGUGAUCAUGUUCAUAUUGAUUGUUUUCUGUUUUUUUGUUUUUGUUUUUUAAGGCCUGAUGCAACCUUCUUAUGUAGGGAGUUGGGAUUAAUCGAUCUGUUUGUUAGCUGAAAUAGUAUUAAUUGGAUUUAGUGUUUGAAUCUUAGUCAUUUACCAAAUAUUCGCCUUAUUCAAGGUAUGCUAAUGGUGAAGAAUGGGAGAACAAUUACAUUGAAGAAAACUGCGUGUCAAACCUGAGAAGCUUAAUAGUUUGUUGACUUCAAUAACUCUCUCAAUAAUCUCCUUCUCUCUGUUAUUAAUUCAAGCCUUGCUGCAUAAGGUUCACUGAGAAGGGUAAUCACGGAUAACUAUUACCUCCUUCACUUUUGUCAUCUGAUACAAUCUAUGAAGCACGGAUACUGACAUGGGGAUACAAAUCUGGGAUACUGAUACGAGGAUUCGUAAAUUUUUGAGAACUGGGGAUACGAGAUAAGUAAGGAUACGUGUAUUUAUUAAAACCAUUUAAGUUUAUAAUAAUUCUUUUAAGUAAAAAGAAUCAUAUAAAAUAAAACAAAACAAAACAAAACAAAAAACUUUAUGGAAUAUUAAAAUAAAACAGAUAAAAGUUGUUUAACAUCUGGCUCACCCAUCACUCAUAAAUAUUAUCUUCAUCAAAGAGCACUGCUUAUUGUUGUGGCUCGUCAAGUGAAAGAUUUGCAACUUCAAGUUCGCUCUCACCGUCUAGUGUAUCAAAUUUAGCUUCACUGAUAUCCCACAUUCCGCUUUCUCCUUCCGUAUAAUUUUCACUUUUUCGUGAAAGGAGAUGAAUAUUACUAUAAACAAACAAUAAAUCCUCAGUACAUUAGGGUACAUAUGCUCCAAUUUCUCUCCAAUGAUAAAAGUUAUAUAUGAUCCAAUCAUAUUAUAGGAAGUAUCCCCUCUUAGAGUAUCUGAGAGAUAUCCCAAUGUAUCCCUUACCCUUUGCAUAAUUAAUAAAAAUGGAUACUUUAAAUGGAGUAUCCGACACG